GACGAACGCUGGCGGCGUGCUUAACACAUGCAAGUCGAACGGAAAGGCCCUGCUUUUGUGGGGUGCUCGAGUGGCGAACGGGUGAGUAACACGUGAGUAACCUGCCCUUGACUUUGGGAUAACUUCAGGAAACUGGGGCUAAUACCGGAUAGGAGCUCCUGCUGCAUGGUGGGGGUUGGAAAGUUUCGGCGGUUGGGGAUGGACUCGCGGCUUAUCAGCUUGUUGGUGGGGUAGUGGCUUACCAAGGCUUUGACGGGUAGCCGGCCUGAGAGGGUGACCGGCGACAAUGGGACUGCGAUACGGCGCAGACGCCUACGGGAGGCAGCAGUGGGGAAUAUUGCACAAUGGGCGGAAGCCAGAGGCAGCAGCGCCGCGUGCGGGAUAACGGCCUUCGGGUGAUAAACCGCUUUCGCCUGUGACGAAGCGUGAGUGACGGUAAUGGGUAAAGAAGCACCGGCUAACUACGUG
Molecule: ribosomal RNA, 468 nt
Filed under: uncultured bacterium
Lineage: Bacteria
Description: partial 16S ribosomal RNA
Rfam family: Bacterial small subunit ribosomal RNA
Source: RNAcentral